Molecule: ribosomal RNA, 491 nt
Filed under: uncultured bacterium
Lineage: Bacteria
Description: partial 16S ribosomal RNA
Rfam family: Bacterial small subunit ribosomal RNA
Source: RNAcentral
AGUGAACGCUGGCGGUAGGCCUAACACAUGCAAGUCGAACGGCAGCACGGUAAGAGCUUGCUCUUACGGGUGGCGAGUGGCGGACGGGUGAGGAAACAUCGGAAUCUACUUUUUCGUGGGGGAUAACGUAGGGAAACUUACGCUAAUACCGCAUACGACCUACGGGUGAAAGCAGGGGAUCUUCGGACCUUGCGCGAUUGAAUGAGCCGAUGUCGGAUUAGCUAGUUGGCGGGGUAAAGGCCCACCAAGGCGACGAUCCGUAGCUGGUCUGAGAGGAUGAUCAGCCACACUGGAACUGAGACACGGUCCAGACUCCUACGGGAGGCAGCAGUGGGGAAUAUUGGACAAUGGGCGCAAGCCUGAUCCAGCCAUACCGCGUGGGUGAAGAAGGCCUUCGGGUUGUAAAGCCCUUUUGUUGGGAAUGAAAAGCAGCAGGUUAAUACCCCGCUGUUCUGACGGUACCCAAAGAAUAAGCACCGGCUAACUUCGUG